AUUGGAGAGCUUGCUUUCCAUGAGAGUGGCGCACGGGUGCGUAACACGUAUGUAACCUACCUUUAUCAGGGGGAUAGCCUCUCGAAAGAGAGAUUAAGCCCGCAUAACAUCAAACCACAGCAUUUUGGAUUGAUCAAAUAUUUAUAGGAUAAAGAUGGGCAUGCGGAACAUUAGCUAGUUGGUAAGGUAAUGGCUUACCAAGGCGACGAUGUUUAGGGGAUCUGAGAGGAUGACCCCCCACACUGGUACUGAGACACGGACCAGACUCCUACGGGAGGCAGCAGUAAGGAAUAUUGGUCAAUGGGCGGAAGCCUGAACCAGCCAUGCCGCGUGCAGGAAGACGGCCCUACGGGUUGUAAACUGCUUUUGCAGGGGAAUAAACCCCCCAACGUGUUGGGGGUUGAAUGUACUCUGAGAAUAAGGAUCGGCUAACUCCGUGCCAGCAGCCGCGGUAAUACGGAGGAUCCGAGCGUUAUCCGGAUUUAUUGGGUUUAAAGGGUGCGUAGGCGGCCUAUUAAGUCAGGGGUGAAAGACGGUAGCUUAACUAUCGCAGUGCCUUUGAUACUGAUGGGCUUGAAUGUAGUUGAGGUAGGCGGAAUGUGACAAGUAGCGGUGAAAUGCAUAGAUAUGUCACAGAACACCAAUUGCGAAGGCAGCUUACUAAAGUAUGAUUGACGCUGAGGCACGAAAGCGUGGGGAUCGAACAGGAUUAGAUACCCUGGUAGUCCACGCCCUAAACGAUGAACACUCGAUGUUGGCGAUAUACAGUCAGCGUCAAAGCGAAAGCGUUAAGUGUUCCACCUGGGGAGUACGCCCGCAAGGGUGAAACUC
Molecule: ribosomal RNA, 831 nt
Filed under: uncultured Sphingobacteriia bacterium
Lineage: Bacteria; Pseudomonadati; Bacteroidota; Sphingobacteriia
Description: bacterial SSU rRNA
Rfam family: Bacterial small subunit ribosomal RNA
Source: RNAcentral